This 1038-nucleotide long non-coding RNA is filed under the name Canis lupus familiaris (dog). RNAcentral describes it as "lncRNA (ENSCAFG00000058436.1)". The record is from RNAcentral. Lineage: Eukaryota; Metazoa; Chordata; Mammalia; Carnivora; Canidae.
UUUUUUUUUUUUUUUUAGUAUUUUAUUUGAGAGACAGCGAGAGAGAGAGCAUGAGCAGGGAGAGGCAGAAGUCAGCUCCCAGCCGAACAAGGAGCCCAGUGCUGGGCUCAAUCCUGGGACUCCCGAAUCACGACCUGAGCUGAAGGCAGAAGCUUAACCGACUGAGCUUCCCCGGGCGCCCCUCAUAUUGAUAUUUUGACCUCUUCCAUGAAUCUUUUUUUUUUUCUUUUUUUUUUUUUAGUAGGCUCCAUACCCAGCACAGAACCCAACAUGGGGCUUUAACUCACGACCCUGAGAUUAAGAGCUGAGCUGAGAGUUGGGACACUCAACCAACUGAACCACUCAGGCACCUCACAGAUUUUAAUGGCAUCAGGAAUGGUGAAUCCUUUCCAGGUUUUCAAUUAACUUUGCCCAGAUCCAUCAGAAGAAUCAUCUAUGGCAGCCAUAGCCUGACGAAACAUAUUUCUUAAUAAGGCUUGAAAGUUGAAAUGACUCCUCCAUCCAUGGGCUGCAGGGUGGAUGUUUUGUUCGCAGGCUUGAAAACAACAUUAAUGUCAUUGUACAUCUCCUUCAGAGCUCUUGGGUGACCAGAUGCCUUGUCAAUGAGCAGUAAUAUUUUGAAAGGAAUCUUUUUUUCUGAGCAGGUCCCAACAAUGAGCUUAAAAUAUUCAGCAAACCAUGCUGUCAACAGAUGUGCUGUCAUCUGGGCUUUGUUCCAUUUACAGAGCACAGGUAGAGUAGAUUGAGCAUAAUCCUUAAGGGCUCUAGGAUUUUCAGAAUGGUAACAAACACUCUUUCAACUUAAGUCACCAGCUGCGUUAGCCCUUAGCAAGAGAGUCAGCCUGUCCUCUGAAGUUUGAAGCCAGACAUUGACUUCUCCUCUCUAGCUAUGAAAGUCCUAGAAGGCAUCUUCUUCCAAUAUAAGGCUGUUUUGUCUUCAUUGAAAAUCUGUAGUUUAGUGCAGCCACCUUCAUGAAUUCUCUUAGCUGGAUCUUCUGAGAACUUGGUGCAGCCUCUACAUCAGCACUUCCAUGGAGA